GAUGAACGCUGGCGGCGUGCCUAAUACAUGCAAGUCGAGCGAACAGACGAGGAGCUUGCUCCUCUGACGUUAGCGGCGGACGGGUGAGUAACACGUGGAUAACCUACCUAUAAGACUGGGAUAACUUCGGGAAACCGGAGCUAAUACCGGAUAAUAUAUUGAACCGCAUGGUUCAAUAGUGAAAGACGGUUUUGCUGUCACUUAUAGAUGGAUCCGCGCCGCAUUAGCUAGUUGGUAAGGUAACGGCUUACCAAGGCGACGAUGCGUAGCCGACCUGAGAGGGUGAUCGGCCACACUGGAACUGAGACACGGUCCAGACUCCUACGCGAGGCAGCAGUAGGGAAUCUUCCGCAAUGGGCGAAAGCCUGACGGAGCAACGCCGCGUGAGUGAUGAAGGUCUACGGAUCGUAAAACUCUGUUAUUAGGGAAGAACAAAUGUGUAAGUAACUAUGCACGUCUUGACGGUACCUAAUCAGAAAGCCACGGCUAACUACGUG
Molecule: ribosomal RNA, 497 nt
Filed under: uncultured bacterium
Lineage: Bacteria
Description: partial 16S ribosomal RNA
Rfam family: Bacterial small subunit ribosomal RNA
Source: RNAcentral